This 253-nucleotide ribosomal RNA is filed under the name uncultured bacterium. Its description in RNAcentral is "partial 16S ribosomal RNA". It matches the Rfam family "Bacterial small subunit ribosomal RNA", at positions 524 to 776 of the family's 1533-position model. The record is from RNAcentral.
UACAGAGGGUGCUAGCGUUGUUCGGAAUUAUUGGGCGUAAAGGGCUCGUAGGCGGCCAACUAAGUCGGACGUGAAAUCCCCAGGCUUAACCUGGGAACUGCGUCUGAUACUGGAUGGCUUGAAUUCGGGAGAGGGAUGCAGAAUUCCAGGUGUAGCGGUGAAAUGCGUAGAUAUUGGGAGGAACACCAGUGGCGAAGGCGGUCCCCUGGGCCGGAACUGACGCUGAGGCGCGAAAGCGUGGGUAGCAAACGGG